Molecule: small nuclear RNA, 107 nt
Organism: Fukomys damarensis (Damara mole-rat)
Lineage: Eukaryota; Metazoa; Chordata; Mammalia; Rodentia; Bathyergidae
Source: Ensembl
GUGAUCACUUUGGCAGCACAUAUGCUAAAAUUGGAACGACACAGAGAAGAUUAGCAUGGCUCUUGCGCAUGGAUGACAUGCAGAUUUGUGAAGUGUUCCAUAUUUUU